This 426-nucleotide unclassified non-coding RNA is filed under the name Hevea brasiliensis (rubber tree). Lineage: Eukaryota; Viridiplantae; Streptophyta; Magnoliopsida; Malpighiales; Euphorbiaceae. The record is from RNAcentral.
GGAAAGCAGAGUUCAGGUGAACAAGUGUUCCAGACCACGAAAGAGACAUCUGAAGAAGUGGCCGGAUCCGAGACAGGGCCAUGGUUCAAACCCAAGAAUGGAAGUGUGUUUCCAAGAAAAAAGAAGUUGGUGAAGAGCAUGAUGCUUGAUUCUAUUACUUCCGUUUUCAGCUCUGCUUCUGCUUCUUCCUCUGAUGCUCAGGACCUAAAAAAUGCUACCGGUCACAGAAACAAGGUUCAGUCGUCUAAAAUAUCGAAUACCGAUUGAUUCUCUCUUUUUUCUUGUUGUAUCUGCAGCUGCUGGAGUUUCCGUUUUUGUUUCAGUUGUUAUUGUUGCUGCUGUUGUUGUUAAUUACAAAUUAUAAGAUUAUGUUUUUGUCCUGACUGUAGUUUGUGUUCAUCUGGAAUGUAAAAUAGUUCUCCAGGC